UGUCUUCCCAUAUUUAAUAUUCUUUUCGUAGGGUCAUUUAAUCGUGUUCGCACGACGUAUAGUAGCAGGGUGCUAUAUGCCCCAGGAAGUGGGUUUAUAACUUACCGUUGGUCCCGAUGGGAGACGCAUCC
Listeria monocytogenes EGD-e is the source of this 131-nucleotide regulatory RNA element. It matches the Rfam family "Listeria sRNA rli62". The record is from Rfam. NCBI's taxonomy places the organism in Bacteria, Bacillati, Bacillota, Bacilli, Caryophanales, Listeriaceae.